This 486-nucleotide ribosomal RNA is filed under the name uncultured bacterium. RNAcentral describes it as "bacterial SSU rRNA". It matches the Rfam family "Bacterial small subunit ribosomal RNA", at positions 28 to 511 of the family's 1533-position model. The record is from RNAcentral.
GAUGAACGCUAGCGGCAGGCUUAAUACAUGCAAGUCGAGGGGCAGCACGAAUAGCAAUAUUUGGUGGCGACCGGCGCACGGGUGCGUAACACGUAUACAACCUACCUAUAACAGGGGGAUAGCCUUUCGAAAGAGAGAUUAAUACCCCGUAAUAAAUUGAAUGGCAUCAUUUGAUUUUGAAAGCUACGGCGGUUAUAGAUGGGUAUGCGUCUGAUUAGCUAGUUGGUGAGGUAAUGGCUCACCAAGGCGACGAUCAGUAGGGGAUCUGAGAGGACUAACCCCCACACUGGUACUGAGACACGGACCAGACUCCUACGGGAGGCAGCAGUAAGGAUAUUGGUCAAUGGAGGCAACUCUGAACCAGCCAUGCCGCGUGCAGGAUGACGGCCCUAUGGGUUGUAAACUGCUUUUGUACCAGAGAAAACCUAUCUACGUGUAGAUAGCUGAUAGUAUGGUAAGAAUAAGCAUCGGCUAACUUCGUGCCAG